This 2069-nucleotide long non-coding RNA is filed under the name Nicotiana tabacum (common tobacco). Its description in RNAcentral is "long non-coding RNA (NTAB_LNC005956)". Lineage: Eukaryota; Viridiplantae; Streptophyta; Magnoliopsida; Solanales; Solanaceae. The record is from RNAcentral.
UUUGAGUUUGUGUUCUGUGGACCGACAAUGUAAAAACUUGUUACUGAUAGUUAAGUUGACCUAGAGUAAUAUAACUAGGUUUAGUUAAACUAAUCCUUUUCAAUAUGUAUGUGAUAACCUUGAAAUGUAGUUAUUUCAAAGAAUUCAGAAUUUUGAAUCCGUUAAGUUUCAUGUUUAAUUCGGCUUGAAUUUAAAUUAGCAAAUCAUAAAUGGAAUAAGGGCUUUAACAAUGAAGUGUUUGUUGCUUGUAGAAAACUGUUGCAUCACCAGGACGCGGAAUUUUGGCUAUGGAUGAGUCCAAUGCCACCUGCGGAAAGCGUUUGGCUUCCAUUGGUUUGGAAAACACUGAGGCUAACCGCCAAGCUUACCGUACCCUGCUUGUAACAGCUCCAGGACUCGGACAGUACAUCUCUGGUGCUAUUCUUUUCGAGGAGACUCUCUACCAGUCAACCGUUGAUGGCCGCAAAAUAGUUGAUGUUCUUGUUGAACAAAACAUUGUUCCUGGUAUCAAAGUUGACAAGGUAUAUUAACCUACACCCUCAACUUUAACGUCAAUAAAAUAUAUAGUGAACUUUUAGUAACUUCUAUUUUUAAUUUUAUGUGUAAAAUAUUGGUCUCAGAUGAGCUUAAACAGAACGACAUUAUACGUGAGGAUCUAUAUAGCCGACCCCAACUUGCUUGAAAUUCUUGUAGUAACAAGAAAGAGGAAAGGCAGGGUUAUGUAUGGGUAGCAAGAGUUUAUUAUAGGGCGUUCAAACUUUUAAGUUUGACUCUUAAAUAAACUUUAACUUGUUCAACUUAGAGUUGUUUAUAUGGCGAAACUAGCUCAGACAAGAGUUAAUCAGCCUAUGGACUGAGUAUUAAAUGAGAGGAUUUCAAGUUUAAUGAUUAAUUGGACUGAAAUGAGAUUUCUAUCAAAAUCCCCUAAUCAUUUUGUCUGUUAACAGGGUUUGGUUCCCCUUGCUGGUUCAAAUGAUGAGUCAUGGUGUCAAGGUCUUGAUGGCCUUGCCUCCCGCACUGCUGCAUACUACCAACAGGGUGCACGUUUCGCCAAAUGGUAUAUUCAAGAAUGCCUCAUAAUUUUCAAAAAUAUUGACUUUGUUAGGUCUAAAGAUGAUAUUUGCUAAAAUUAUGGUAACUUAUGCAGGCGUACCGUGGUGAGCAUUCCCAACGGACCAUCUGCAUUAGCUGUGAAGGAAGCAGCAUGGGGUUUGGCUCGCUACGCUGCAAUUUCUCAGGACAGUGGUUUGGUCCCAAUUGUGGAGCCAGAGAUUUUGUUAGACGGUGAACAUGGAAUCGACAGGACUUUUGAGGUAGCCCAAAAGGUUUGGGCUGAGGUCUUCUUCUAUUUGGCUGAGAACAAUGUCAUGUUCGAGGGUAUCCUCUUAAAGCCGAGCAUGGUCACUCCUGGUGCUGAAUGCAAAGACAGGGCCACUCCUCAGCAAGUCGCGGACUAUACUCUAAGUCUCCUUCAAAGGAGGAUUCCCCCAGCUGUCCCUGGAAUCAUGGUAAGUCUCCUUUAUUUCUAUGAAUUUAGCUAGUUUUUGACUGAGCACGAAAUUUAACAAACAAAGAGAGAUUGUCAGUACAUUGCCCAAGUAGCCUUAAAACGUGUGCUCUUAAACAUUUUAUGACAUUUCUAUGACUAUAUGAGCAUUGAGAAGUUAUUAAAGACUUAUUAUUUUCGAAAGAGAUUAAAAAGGAAAGUACCGUAUAAGAUGGAACUGAGUCAACAUAUAGAAUAUGAAUCAUUAGUAUCUGACUUCCCGUGAUAUAUAUAGAUGAAUAAGUGAAUAAACACUCAACGAGACUAACAUAAACAUUGGCACUAGGUAUGAAAUUACUAUUUAACUGGUGCUAAUUGACUCGAUAUUGUUGCAGUUCUUGUCUGGUGGGCAAUCAGAAGUUGAGGCUACAUUGAACUUGAAUGCCAUGAACCAAGCUCCAAACCCAUGGCACGUAUCGUUCUCAUACGCGAGGGCUCUUCAGAACACUUGCUUGAAAACAUGGGGAGGACAACCCGAGAACGUUAAGGCUGCUCAGGAUGCUUUACUUACCAGGGCCAAAGC